AAAUUUAUAGGCCUAUCUUUCAAGCAAGGAAUUUUUUUUUACACUACCUGGGUAGAUUUUUUUCCUAACUUUUUUCUGGGAAUAAUUUUUUUUUGGUUUUGCCCCCUCACUUUUCUAAUGGUCCGUCCCUAAAUGAUAUAUAUUCGGUGUAGAGUUUUUUUCAUUAGCCUUAUUCAAAUAUUUGUCAGAAAUGUUAGCAUAGGCGUACCGGGCGGCGGGGUGGGGGGGGGCGGUAGCCCCCCCAGUUUUUUGGGCAGUCGGGCAAUAUUCGAUGAACAGUCGGGCAAUUUUGGUGUAUAAUAAAAAUAAAAGGGACAAAUUCU
Non-coding RNA from Paramuricea clavata, 323 nucleotides. The record is from the annotation of a GenBank genome assembly. NCBI's taxonomy places the organism in Eukaryota, Metazoa, Cnidaria, Anthozoa, Malacalcyonacea, Plexauridae.